UUUUUAUUUUGCUAUUACUGUGAUUCUACUAGUCACAAUCCAUUACUCGGCCUGCACACGUUUUCUUCGACAGAUAUUUGUUUCAUUCUUCUACUUUUCUUUACCCUUGCAACACGUUCAGGGCGAGACAGCCCACCAUUGUUUGUUAAGUCAAGUCAAUAGUGUAGCAUAACUCCAGGCCCAUUCCUUCUGGCAGACAAAUCCUUUAAAUGGCAUCCACAUUCUACACACAAGAUCUCCGAAGCUCCAACCUAAAGUUCUCCCAACUUCCUGGUUCUUCCACAUCCUGUAAGCUCUGAACAUCAUGCCCUCAUUUUUGUCUCUACUCUGUAUUUUUCUCAUCCUUUUCUCCUUCAACACUACAACAAUCGAAGCAGCACAAGGAAACAAGUCCGAGAUUGAUCGGCAAGCCCUCCUUUGCUUCAAGUCCGGCAUCAAUUCUUAUCCCCAUGGCAUCCUAAAUUCAUGGAGUGAUGACUCACUUCACUUUUGCAGCUGGAAAGGGGUCACUUGCAGCACAAAGUUUCCACCCCGGGUGGUCUCUCUUAACCUCACCUCUACUCGUCUCAGUGGGAAAAUUUCUGGAUGUGUAGGCAACUUGACCUUUCUAUCAUCGAUGAACCUUGCCGAUAAUGAUCUGUCGGGAACCAUCCCUGAAGAGUUGGGUAAGCUCCCAAACCUCCAUACGCUGAAUCUUGCCAAUAAUAGUCUGACCGGUGGUAUCCCUCUCUCAUUGACCAAUUGUUCCUCACUCAGCACACUUAUACUGUCUCGUACUUUGUUUGAUAACUUAUCUAAGCUUACUAAGGUUGAUCUCCAGAAGAAUUCUUUCACGGGACUCAUCCCACGUUUCCAUAAGGUCACAGCACUCAAACUUCUUUGCCUGACAGAGAACUUCCUCUCUGGAAGCAUACCUCCUUCAAUAGGAAAUGUUUCUUCCCUGACAUCUAUAUUGCUCGGCCAAAAUAAGCUAUCAGGAUUAAUUCCAGAAACUAUAGGUCACACUACAAAACUACUUGAGCUUGACCUAAGUUUCAACAGUUUAUCAGGUAAUGUCCCGGUUUCUCUUUAUAACAUGUCAUCACUCAAAAACUUUAGUGUUGGCAGCAAUGCCCUUGUUGGACAGUUACCAUCUAACAUUGGUUACUCGCUACCAAACCUCCAGUCCCUAAUCCUGGGAAGCAACAGGCUGGAGGGCCUGAUCCCUGCUUCACUAGCCAACAUGUUAAAUCUUCAAAUACUUGAUCUUUCAAACAACUCGUUACAUGGCUCUGUGCCAUCUCUUGGUUCGUUGACAAACUUGCGUCAGUUAGUUUUAGGGAGGAACUUGCUAGAAGCACAUGACUGGUCAUUUCUUACAUCUCUGGCAAGUUGCACCCAGCUGACAAAAUUGUCCUUGGAAGGGAAUGCUCUGAAUGGCAGCUUACCUAUAGCAGUUGUUAAUCUUUCCACAACGCUAGAAGAGUUAUCGCUUGCAUCAAACCAAAUUUCGGGCUCCAUACCUGUUGAGAUUAGCAAUCUUGUUAAUCUCACUUCGCUUAGGAUGGAAAGCAAUUUUCUUUCGGGAAGGAUACCAUCUACCAUUGGGAAACUGCAAUACCUAUAUAUCCUAAGUCUAUCGAACAACAAAUUAUCAGGUCAGAUCCCUCCCUCAGUUGGUGACAUCACUCAAUUGGGCAAGCUUUAUCUUGAUGAUAACAACUUGAGUGGAAACAUACCUGGUAAUUUAGGUCAGUGCAAGGGACUUCUUGAACUAAACUUGUCUCGGAACAAUCUCAAUGGGUCAGUACCAGCCAAACUGUUUGAUAAUCCUCCAUUUUCCUUCGGUCUAGACUUCUCACAUAACAAUCUCACUGGGGAACUGCCUUUUGGUACACAUGGUGCUGGUUAUGGUCCAACAUCCCUUCACAUGGAAGGAAACAAGUUUCGUGGACAAAUCCCAGCAAGCUGGAACUCACUAUUAUCAACCCAGCAGAUUAAUCUUUCUCACAAUGACUUAUCUGGUACUGUGCCUGAAUUCUUUGAGCACCUUAGUAUGCUGGAGCAACUUGAUCUGUCUUACAACAACUUGGAAGGGGCUGUUCCUACAAGUGGGAUCUUUGAGAAUUCUGCCGCAGUAGUUUUGGAUGGAAACAAGGGACUCUGUUCGAAUUCCUCGAGGCUAGCAUUACCAAUUUGUCCUGGCAUCUCAGCAGCAAAUAAAACAAAGCACCAUAAGUCCAAGCACCAUCGGUCCUUGCUGGCGACCUUGCUGCUAAUUGUACUACCCUCUGUUUUUAAGGCGUCCGUAAGGCGUCGCUUAGGCGACGCCUAGGCGUCAGGGCGCCCUCCAGGCUCAGGGCGUCGGCCUUGCCUUAGACAGUCGUGUAAGGCGUCCGCCUUAGGCUGUAAGGCGUCUGAAGCGUCCGCCUUAGCGCCACCUUGCACGCCUCAGACCAAAUCGGACGCCUUAGCUUGUCAGGCAGGGAAACAGAGAUUGCAGGCGGGAAAACUGACCUGGGCGGGAACACAGGCGCGGGAAACAUUGGUUCAGGUGCGACCAGUUAUGAGAAGGGGAAAGAGAGAGUGAAUCGACGUGAGAGGUCUCUCCUGUCUCCUCUCUGGACCAUUGACGGAGGCUUCCUCCUCAGAUCUGCGGCAGCCGCCAACCUCCUCCCUCCGGCCACAGUUCCUCCCCCUCCUCUCUGGCUGCAGCUCCUCCCCAUCCUCCUCUGGCGCAACCCUCUUCCAGCAGAUCAGCACCACAUCAAGUAGCCAGGUGUACCUGCUCUGAUGGAUCUAGCCAAUGAUCCUAGGAGAAGAGCUACAUCAGAUGAUCCAGCCUGGAAGUAUGGGUUCUGGCCAGAUUUAGAGAGGAAAGAUUUACUCCAGUGUACAUUGUGUGGCAAGAUAGUCCAUGGUGGAGUGAGAAGGCUAAAGCAGCACUUUUCUGGGGGUUCCAGUGAUGCGGAUAAGUGUCCCGAGGCAUCCAUGGAGAUUAGGAUAGAGAUGCACAAUUCCUUAAACACUAGAAAGUUUAAAGCUAUGGAGCGAUAUAUUGAUGAGGAGGAUGAAGCUGAACUUCAAAGGCGCCGUUCUGUCAUAUACACAAGAUGAUUUGAGGCCUAUGCUUUGGUAACAGUUUAUAUGUUAAUGUUAGUUGUUAAAUCUCCUAAUUGGUGGCCAUCUAUUAUAUAUGUAUGUACAAUUUAUUAAGUUAAUGCUAGUUGUUAAAUCUCCUAAUUGGCUGCCAUAUAUUAUAUAUGCACGUGUCUAAGGCGUCGCCUCGCCUUACGCUUUAGCGCUUAGGCGGUGAGGCGCCCCCCCAGCGCCUCGCCUCGCCUUACCGCCUUAAAAACAUAGGUACUACCACCACUUACUAUUUCUUCCCUAGUAUUGCUGUGGCUUCUGUUCACUCUUUGGGAUAGAGGGGUAUUAUUCACUCAUUGCAAGAAUUUGAUUUUAUCAUUUUCACCAUCGGACGUUUUGUCCAAGAUUUUUCGCCUUUUUGGCCAUCUCAAGCGAAGGGAAGUGCAUACAGUUCCGUCCCAUGAGGAGAAGCUGAAAAGAGUGUCAUACAGUGACAUCCUUGAAGCUACUGAUUGGUUUUCGUCGGGACACAAAAUAAGCUCAAGCUGUACUGGGUCGGUCUAUGUUGGGAGGUUCAAGUUUGAAAAUGAUCUGGUGGCUAUCAAAGUAUUCAACCUGAAUGAACCUGGCGCUAAUGAAAGUUUCUUUACUGAGUGUCAGGUGCUACGGAGCACACGCCAUCGAAACAUUCUGAAGUGUGUGACUUCAUGCUCGACGACGGACACAGAACGCAAUGAGCUCAAAGCACUAGUCUACCAAUUCAUGGCUAAUGGCAGCCUUGAAAGAUGGCUUCACCCUAAGCAACACAAUGGCACACCAAAUAGAACCCUAAGCUUACGGCUGAGGAUAUGCAUAGCCGUGGAUGUGGCCUCUGCUCUCGAUUAUCUUCACAACGAACUGACGCCGUCUUUGAUGCAUUGUGAUUUGAAGCCAAGCAACAUUCUUUUAGAUUAUGAUAUGACUGCACGUAUUGGAGACUUUGGUUCAGCAAAGUUUCUGUCGCCAGUUUUGGGUAGCCUAGAACACUUGAUCAGUUUCCGAGGAACAAUUGGAUACAUGGCACCUGAGUACGGAAUGGGUUGCCAGAUCUCAGCAGGAGGUGAUGUCUAUAGUUUUGGAGUGAUUCUACUGGAGUUGCUUACCGGAAAACGACCAACCGAUGAUAUGUUCGUGGAUGGGCUUAGCCUUUGUAAGUUUUGUCAAUCCAUGUUCCCAGACAGAGUUGCAGAGAUUCUAGAUCCUCAUGUGGCGCAUGAGGAGCAUCAGCGGUGCGAAGAAGUGGACGCGGAAGCAUGGAUGCAGCGAUAUAUUGUCCCGCUGGUUGCCCUAGGGCUGUCAUGUACCGUGGAAUCUCCCAAUGAUAGGCCUGGAAUGAAGGAUGUUUAUGCAAAACUAUCUGUUAUCAGAAGCUCUUUUCUGGAACGCCGUGAUGAUUGAUGAAUAUAUCAAUUCUGUUAGGGUGUACUAAAUUGUUAUUGUUAAGGAUGUAUUUUUGUAAUUACCAGAGUGUGUUUGCGUCCUGUACCCUAUCUAUUUGACAAAACUAAAACAAACUGUGUGGACAAAUAUGUGAUUUGCAACUAGGCAUAGUUGGAUAUUGGAAGCAUCACCAACCAUGCUUUGUUGUAGAUUUGUUUUUUUAAUAAUAUUUAUAUUGACAUGUAU
This 4734-nucleotide ribosomal RNA is filed under the name Triticum aestivum (bread wheat). RNAcentral's name for it is "partial small subunit ribosomal RNA". Lineage: Eukaryota; Viridiplantae; Streptophyta; Magnoliopsida; Poales; Poaceae. The record is from RNAcentral.